Molecule: ribosomal RNA, 708 nt
Filed under: Hansenula anomala
Lineage: Eukaryota; Fungi; Ascomycota; Saccharomycetes; Phaffomycetales; Wickerhamomycetaceae
Description: Wickerhamomyces anomalus partial large subunit ribosomal RNA
Rfam family: Eukaryotic large subunit ribosomal RNA
Source: RNAcentral
UACGGCGAGUGAGCGGCAAAAGCUCAAAUUUGAAAUCUAGCACCUUCGGUGUUCGAGUUGUAAUUUGAAGAUGGUAACCUUGGGUUUGGCUCUUGUCUAUGUUCCUUGGAACAGGACGUCAUAGAGGGUGAGAAUCCCGUCUGAUGAGAUGCCCAUUCCUAUGUAAGGUGCUAUCGAAGAGUCGAGUUGUUUGGGAAUGCAGCUCUAAGUGGGUGGUAAAUUCCAUCUAAAGCUAAAUAUUGGCGAGAGACCGAUAGCGAACAAGUACAGUGAUGGAAAGAUGAAAAGAACUUUGAAAAGAGAGUGAAAAAGUACGUGAAAUUGUUGAAAGGGAAGGGCAUUAGAUCAGACUUGGUGUUUUACGAUUAUCUUCUCUUCUUGAGUUGUGCACUCGUAUUUCACUGGGCCAGCAUCGAUUCGGAUGGCAAGAUAAUGGCAGUUGAAUGUGGCUUCACUUCGGUGGAGUGUUAUAGCUUCUGCUGAUAUUGCCUGUCUGGAUCGAGGGCUGCGUCUUUUGACUAGGAUGCUGGCGUAAUGAUCUAAUGCCGCCCGUCUUGAAACACGGACCAAGGAGUCUAACGUCUAUGCGAGUGUUUGGGUGUAAAACCCGUACGCGUAAUGAAAGUGAACGUAGGUGAGAGCUCUUUUGAGUGCAUCAUCGACCGAUCCUGAUGUUUUCGGAUGGAUUUGAGUAAGAGCAUAGCUGUU